RNAcentral lists this long non-coding RNA (1512 nucleotides) under Equus caballus (horse). Its description in RNAcentral is "lncRNA (ENSECAG00000039060.2)". The record is from RNAcentral. Lineage: Eukaryota; Metazoa; Chordata; Mammalia; Perissodactyla; Equidae.
AUCUCAAGGACACUUCGGAGGUUGCAGCUGCUCCCCCACGAAGGGCCUGCCUCCCUGUGUCUCACCUGAGAAAUGCGAGAGGACCGUCACUUUCCUCCUCCUGCAGCUGCAGGGAGAGGACGCCCCUCCCGGUGCGGGGCCGUGGGGGCGGGGACGGCGGGCAGGAGCCCGAGCUGGGGCGUGGGCGUCCGUGCGACUGCUGAGUCGCACCCAGGCGUUGUGAUUUUAGAAAACUUCAGAGUUCUGAGACAAAAGGCAGAACCGUCCGUCAAGAGCCGUGGUCCUUCAGAAGGCAACUUUACACCACAGCCGUGGGAUUCCGUGGGGAGGUCGCAGUGUGGACAGAAGACCCAGCAGUAGCACCAAAGGCUUCCGGACUCCUGAGAGGCCCUGGAGGGUGCAGCCUUCGGGAGGAGGCUGAGGCAAGGGAAGGAAUACUUCGACCCGCGGACACAGCUGUGAUUCUAAGGGAUUGGAAAGUCAAGUUUCCACAUGCCAUCGGAUGAGCAGAUACAAAGAGAGUUUACGAUGUUGAUGGCGUGAUUGUGCCUGGCUUAUAAGGGGAGAUGAGAUUGUUGCCUUUGGAAAAUACAGAAAUGAACCACCCAGAUCCCUCUGAAGGAAGGACUUGCCACCCAGCUACAGGCAGUGCGGUCAGCAGACAGCUUCCAGCUCUCAGGGCCUUCUCAGCUGCAGAGAGCUGCCUCCGCCAGGCCACACCCUUCCUGGGGUAGCCGGCGUCUGAGCGAAGAUGACAGAGGAGAUGGCGAAGGGUAAUGUUCCCUCCAGAGCUCCCCAGGCUGGCCGAGGCUCGGCCAGGCUUGUCCCGCAGCUUGAGUCCUCUGCUCAGUUCUGCUUCUGCUCCCUUAACAUCACAGGUGUUGACCCGUAACAAACACUUUGCACCUGAAACUCCAUCUCAGCGUUGCUUCCAGAAAACCCAACCAGCAGCCUGGCUCACAAUGAAGGGGAGAAGGAACACGGAUGGGACUCCAGGGAACCACUAGGUUGCCUCCUCCGCUGCCACUGCCACUACCACUGCCAAUGGUAAAAGUGAGUGGAAUAGCACAGCAACUCAAUAAAAACUGGAUCACAGAAAGGCUCACAUCCUGCAGAAAUUCAAGUUUGAUUCACUUCAUCAGGUGAAAAAUCCCAACCAACUGAGAUGCUGGUGGAACGUCAAGCUAACAUGAACCCACACAUCUGAGGCACAGGAAUUGUGUCCUUCAGUUUGGUGAAUUCUUCCAUCUGGAUGCUGUGGAAAGAAGAAUGUGCUUCCAUGAGAACCUGAUGAAAAGCAUUUUCCUCCUUCGAAUCAGAUUGAUGUUAGCUCUUUUCCAUUCUUACUGUGGAGUCUCAGAGUUUCUCUUUGGAGUUUCUCUCGGUUGAAGAACGUGGAUAAAGAGCGGGAAACCCAUCUUGGAGAGAGUAGGGGUAAAGAGUAUUUUUGUAUUUAUUCUUGAGAUUCUUGGCAAAAUGUUGUUUGGUCUGUAUAUAACAUAUUCAUUACAG